GGAGACUGGAGGAUGUUAAGGUUCUGGUGAAUGAAAUGUCUAAUUCUAAUAUUUCUCUCGAUGUUGUUACCUUUAAUAUAUUGAUUGAUGCAUACUGCAAGGAGAGAAAGAUGGAAGAGGCUGAGGAUUUGUUGGAAAUUAUGAAGCAACGUAACGUAUGCCCUACUGUUGUCACUUAUAAUACGCUGAUUGAUGGGUAUUGUUUGAGAGGAGAAAUUGACAAAGCACGACAAGUACUUGAUUCCAUGGUUGACAAGGGACUUAAGCCUGAUAUUGUUACCUACAACUGCUUAUUAAAUGGAUAUUGCAGAAAGGGGAGAAUAGACGAAGCUUGGCUUCAUUUUCAGGAAUUUCCUUGUAAAGGUCUGGAGCAUGAUACAUGUACUUACACAACCAUGAUACAUGGAUUGUUUAGUGAACGUAGAUUUCCGAGGGGCUGGAAGCUUUCAAGGAUAUGGAAGCUCGACGAGUAUGUCCUGAUAUAUAUACUNAUGUGUAAAUUUAUGUCACAUAAUACUUAUUAAAAAACGGAGGAAGUUAGUAUGUACUUUUGAAAAAAAUAUUUAAUUUUAGAUGUUUUUCGAGUGCUCAAUAAUUUAAAAUGUCAUCAAUUUAUCAGAUGAAUUAAUAUUUCUUGAGCGAAAAACUUACAACUAUGAUUAAUUAUCAAUCAAUACUUGAAUAAGAUAAAAAUGCAUUGUUGAUACAAAAAGACCAUAAUCAGUAAUCAACUUGAAAGAAAUCUAAAUUAUAACAGUCAAUCGUAAUUUAUUAUUAUUAUUAUUAUUAUUAUUAUUAUUAUUAUUAUUAUUAUUAUUAUUAUUAUUAUUAUUUUCGAGUUUCGAUUGAAUCCAAAUAGAAUUACACAUUUGGUCCAUGAUUAUAUAUUUGGCCCAAUAGAAUUUGGGCUGGCCCAAUUCAACCCAAAUUACACACAUUUGGUCCAUGAUUUGUUCUUAAAAAAAGAACUAACAGAAAAAUAUCUUCACUCUUGCAAAACAUCCUCAGCAUCUGUUGCAAUUUCAACCCUUUUUUCUGCGAUUAACGAUUAUGAGUAGAAGAGCUGCUGUUACUGCAAUCGAUCUCAUUCAUGGAAGAGGAUUUCUCAAUCAAUGGUCGCAUAAAUCGGGUAUUAUCUCUCCUCCAUUCUCUCUCUUCUCUUCCAAGGCUUUUCAACCUAAGCAGCCCAGAAUCGAUUUCAGCUGUAUUAAAGAAUUAAAUGAUGCUAUUGGAGUGUUUCAAAAAAUGAAGAGUAUGCAGCCGGAGCCUUCUGUUCGAAUGUAUAACAAUCUUUUGAGUGUCACUGUAAAGAUUGAGCAGUAUUCUUUUGCCCUUUAUAUGUUUGCUGAAAUGCUUAGGAUGGGUGUCCCUGUUAAUGUUUACACGAUGACUAUUGCUGUGAAUUGUUGUUGUCUCUUGAAAGAUAUAAAAUCUGGCUUUGCUGUAAUGGGUAUAUUUUUCAAGAGAGGCUACGAACCAAAUGUCGCGACUUUCACCACUCUGAUUAAAGGGUUGUUUUUAGAUCAUAGGGUGGUCGAGGCUGGGAAAUUGUUCAAUAAGCUUUUGUGUUUCGGAAUAUGUGAGCCUAAUGAUGUUAUGAUUCUGACGAUGGUAGAUGGGCUUUGUAAAUCAGGAAAUGUCCUUCCAGCGAGAGAUUUAGUUCGUAGAUUAGAAAGAAGUAGGUUGAGACCUAAUGUCAAGGCUUAUAGUGCAUUGCUCGACGGGCUACGCAAAUCUGGAAUGGUGGAUGAUGCUCUCCAGCUCCUAUCCGCGAUGAUCGAAAAGGGUAUUACACCCGAUGUUGUCACGUACAACUCAAUGAUUCAGGGGUUGUGCGACCUAGGGAGACUGGAGGAUGUUAAGGUUCUGGUGAAUGAAAUGUCUAAUUCUAAUAUUUCUCUCGAUGUUGUUACCUUUAAUAUAUUGAUUGAUGCAUACUGCAAGGAGAGAAAGAUGGAAGAGGCUGAGGAUUUGUUGGAAAUUAUGAAGCAACGUAACGUAUGCCCUACUGUUGUCACUUAUAAUACGCUGAUUGAUGGGUAUUGUUUGAGAGGAGAAAUUGACAAAGCACGACAAGUACUUGAUUCCAUGGUUGACAAGGGACUUAAGCCUGAUAUUGUUACCUACAACUGCUU
Molecule: long non-coding RNA, 2135 nt
Filed under: Salvia miltiorrhiza (redroot sage)
Lineage: Eukaryota; Viridiplantae; Streptophyta; Magnoliopsida; Lamiales; Lamiaceae
Description: long non-coding RNA (SMIL_LNC008454)
Source: RNAcentral